Aromia moschata is the source of this 101-nucleotide non-coding RNA. NCBI's taxonomy places the organism in Eukaryota, Metazoa, Arthropoda, Insecta, Coleoptera, Cerambycidae. The record is from the annotation of a GenBank genome assembly.
GCGGCGAUAGCUCAGUGGGUAAAGCGCCAGGUGAGAAGGUGAGAAGAUGGCGAUUACUCCGAGAGCUAUUAUCUGCGCGGGUUCGUAUCCCGCCUGUAGCA